This 354-nucleotide unclassified non-coding RNA is filed under the name soil metagenome. Its description in RNAcentral is "partial contains 5.8S ribosomal RNA, internal transcribed spacer 2, and large subunit ribosomal RNA". The stretch from base 1 to 120 matches the Rfam family "5.8S ribosomal RNA", at positions 35 to 154 of the family's 154-position model. The record is from RNAcentral.
GAUGAAGAACGUAGUGAAAUGCGAUAAGUAGUGUGAAUUGCAGAAUUCAGUGAAUCAUCGAAUCUUUGAACGCACAUUGCGCCUCCUGGUAUUCCGGGAGGCAUGCCUGUUCGAGCGUCAUUAAAAUCACUCAAGCUUAGGUUUACCUAUUGCUUGGUCUUGGAGAUGGAAGCCAAUUCAUUGGAAUCCUCUUCGAAAUCCAAUGGCGAAGACCCUUGCUCUCCCAAGUGUAGUAAUAACUUAUGUCACUGAAGGAAGCGAGAAAUCUUCCGCCGUAACCCCCAUAUUUUCUAUGAUUGACCUCGGAUCAGGUAGGGAUACCCGCUGAACUUAAGCAUAUCAAUAAGCGGACGA